UAGGGAAUUUUGCGCAAUGGACGAAAGUCUGACGCAGCAACACCGUGUGAGGGAUGAAGCAUUUCGGUGUGUAAACCUCUGUCGAUGAUGAAUAAGGUAUGCGGGAGUGGAAAGCCCGUGUAUUGAAGGUAGUCAUGAAGGAAGCACCGGCUAACUCUGUGCCAGCAGCCGCGGUAAUACAGGGGGUGCAAGCGUUGUUCGGAAUCACUGGGCGUAAAGGGAGCGUAGGCGGAACUACAAGUCAGAGGUCAAAUCUCCGGGCUCAACCUGGAACUUGCCUUUGAGACUGUGGUUCUUGAGUAUGGUAGAGGUCAGCGGAAUUUCCGGUGUAGCGGUGGAAUGCGUAGAGAUCGGAAAGAACACCAGAGGCGAAGGCGGCUGACUGGACCAAUACUGACGC
This 400-nucleotide ribosomal RNA is filed under the name uncultured bacterium. Its description in RNAcentral is "bacterial SSU rRNA". It matches the Rfam family "Bacterial small subunit ribosomal RNA", at positions 355 to 746 of the family's 1533-position model. The record is from RNAcentral.